This 257-nucleotide ribosomal RNA is filed under the name uncultured prokaryote. RNAcentral describes it as "partial 16S ribosomal RNA". It matches the Rfam family "Bacterial small subunit ribosomal RNA", at positions 524 to 780 of the family's 1533-position model. The record is from RNAcentral.
UACGUAGGUGGCAAGCGUUAUCCGGAAUUAUUGGGCGUAAAGAGCGCGCAGGUGGUUGAUUAAGUCUGAUGUGAAAGCCCACGGCUUAACCGUGGAGGGUCAUUGGAAACUGGUCGACUUGAGUGCAGAAGAGGGAAGUGGAAUUCCAUGUGUAGCGGUGAAAUGCAUAGAGAUAUGGAGGAACACCAGUGGCGAAGGCGGCUUCCUGGUCUGUAACUGACACUGAGGCGCGAAAGCGUGGGGAGCAAACAGGAUUA